Ribosomal RNA from Pteropus vampyrus (large flying fox), 116 nucleotides. The record is from Ensembl. NCBI's taxonomy places the organism in Eukaryota, Metazoa, Chordata, Mammalia, Chiroptera, Pteropodidae.
GUCUGUAGCCAUGCCACCCUGCACGUGCCCGAUCUCAUCUGAUCUUGGAAGCUAGGCAGGCUCGGGCCUGGUUAGUACUUGGAUAGACCACCUAAGAAUACCAGGUGCUAUAGAUG